RNAcentral lists this ribosomal RNA (487 nucleotides) under uncultured bacterium. Its description in RNAcentral is "bacterial SSU rRNA". It matches the Rfam family "Bacterial small subunit ribosomal RNA", at positions 43 to 524 of the family's 1533-position model. The record is from RNAcentral.
CAGGCCUACCACAUGCAAGUCGAGCGGAGAUGAGGUGCUUGCACCUUAUCUUAGCGGCGGACGGGUGAGUAAUACUUAGGAAUCUGCCUAUUAGUGGGGGACAACAUUUCGAAAGGGAUGCUAAUACCGCAUACGCCCUACGGGGGAAAGCAGGGGAUCAUUUGACCUUGCGCUAAUAGAUGAGCCUAAGUCGGAUUAGCUAGUUGGUGGGGUAAAGGCCUACCAAGGCGACGAUCUGUAGCGGGUCUGAGAGGAUGAUCCGCCACACUGGGACUGAGACACGGCCCAGACUCCUACGGGAGGCAGCAGUGGGGAAUAUUGGACAAUGGGGGGAACCCUGAUCCAGCCAUGCCGCGUGUGUGAAGAAGGCCUUUUGGUUGUAAAGCACUUUAAGCGAGGAGGAGGCUACUGGUAUUAAUACUACUGGAUAGUGGACGUUACUCGCAGAAUAAGCACCGGCUAACUCUGUGCCAGCAGCCGCGGUAAA